RNAcentral lists this long non-coding RNA (1584 nucleotides) under Amphibalanus amphitrite. RNAcentral describes it as "uncharacterized LOC122384543". The record is from RNAcentral. Lineage: Eukaryota; Metazoa; Arthropoda; Thecostraca; Balanomorpha; Balanidae.
AGCUCCGGCCGGCAGAUCGGCGCGCCGCCCCUACAGCGAACGUCACAAACGACGUAUCAAGCGGAAGCUCAUAGACGAAGCAGAUUACUACGGUAUCAAAAUUUCUUCAAGUCCGGAUUCGUCACCAUCGCCAAAUGCAAGCACAAUAUCUGAAGUUCUGGACAGCUCUGGUAUUUCUAUGCGGAAGUAUGCCAAAUUAGCCGCCACAACACCAACCCUGCCGAGACAGCACAACGUUCGACGCUUCCGGCAACAGCUCAACGAACAAAUCGCCAUCACUGACACUGAUCAUGGUGCUCGGAGGCAGCUCCGUGACCUGCUUACGGCUAUGAGACCCUCCGUCAGAAACGGACCUGACAAUUCGGUCCGCGUGAAGAUAUCAGGCGAUGGUGCACCGGUGGGGAAGUACCGGAGUUUCCUGAAUCUUUCCGUGAGCCUCCCUGAUGAGCCGACACCAGCACAACGACAGCCGAGACUCCUCGAGAUCAGCACAGCAAAAGAAUGCUGGUCAACUCUACAGACACUCCUUAGACCACUCAACAAUGAAAUUGAAGAAAUCCAACGCGACGGAUUAGAUGUCGACGGCUCUCAUCUUUCGGUUGUAUUCUUCUUUGGUGCAGAUUAUAAAUUCAUUCUCCUAUCGUGUGGGAUGAAGGACGCAACAUCCAAUCAUGCAUGUAUUUACUGUGAAUCCAAAAAGUGCAACUAUUUUCGACAGGGGGGGCUUAAGUCAGGAAGGGCUUUAAAGUUGGUGAUCCAGGUGUAGCCCACAACCCUCUUCUACCUGCCAUUCCGGUCGAUCGGAUUGUGAUCGACGUUCUCCACCUUUUCCUUCGGACAUCAGACAAGCUUCUGAUGAUGAUCUGUCGUGAGGUGCCGGAGGAAAAGGUGGCCGAGUUCGUAGGCCACGUUCAGCAGCAGAUAACGUGCCGCGGAAAGAUUGUGGCACGGGAUGGAAAAAUUGAGUUCCAAAACUGUGACUCGAAGGAUCGCGUCAAAAUUCUCAAUUAUCUUGUGUCGUCCGAUGUCCUUGUGAAAAUCAUUGGUCAGAAGCGGGGUACUCUACUUCGGCUAGUACUCGUUAAAUAUGACAAGGCACUGGAGGUUCUACGUAAAAGCGCUGACGAUGAAGAAGUUAGACGCGAAUGCUUGGGCCUCAUGAAAAUGUAUAUAUCUGUCUUUCAGUCGGCGAUGGUGACACCCUAUUUCCACAUUAUGUUUUUUCAUUGUGGGGAUAUCGUGGCUCGUGUGGGAUGCCUGAACGUCUUCACUCAGCAGCACGUUGAAAAACUCAAUCAUUCUGUCACGUCAACAUUCCUUACCACGACAAAUUUUACUAACGGCGUUCGGCAAGUCCUUCAAAAUCAUGGGAGAAGAAUUCUGUAUCCUCUGGAAAAUGUGCCUCUCUGAAACUGUGCUCUUUCGUGAUCAUCGAGCUUGACGACAUUACAAGUGGCAAUGGAUGUAGCGUAAAUAUUGCAAGCGCACGAAUAUUGAAAUAUACCGACAGUGUUGAUGUCCAUUCGUUUACUGGUUUUUAAUAAUGUGGCGUUGGAUGUGUGGUUGAAGUGUCAUGCAUUUUUU